This is a small nucleolar RNA of Ornithorhynchus anatinus (platypus), 138 nucleotides long. The record is from RefSeq and is a predicted model, not a curated record. NCBI's taxonomy places the organism in Eukaryota, Metazoa, Chordata, Mammalia, Monotremata, Ornithorhynchidae.
CCCCUCUCGGGGACGCAUCUGGAGACUUUCCAGUAUUCUACCGGUCUCGUCUGCAAGAGGGAGAAUCAAGCAGAGGCAUACCCAUUCCAUUCUUAGCUUGGGCAGUGGCUAGAGAGUGGAAAGCAUUCUGCUACAAGU